GAGUUUGAUCCUGGCUCAGAACGAACGUUGGCGGCGUGGAUUAGGCAUGCAAGUCGAACGAGAAUCGGGGGCAACUCCGAGGAAAGUGGCGAAAGGGGCAGUAAUGCGUGGGUAACGUACCCUCCGGACCGAGAUAGCCACGGGAAACCGUGGGUAAUAUCGGGCGAUGUAACGAGGUCGCAUGGCCUUGUUACCAGAUGGUCCUCCGCCGGGGGAGCGGCCCACGUGGUAUUAGCUAGUUAGUGAGGUAACGGCUCACCAAGGCUUAGAUGCCUAGCGGGUGUGAGAGCACGACCCGCGCCACUGGCACUGAGACACUGGCCAGACACCUACGGGUGGCUGCAGUCGAGGAUCUUCGGCAAUGGGCGCAAGCCUGACCGAGCGACGCCGCGUGUGCGAUGAAGGCCUUCGGGUUGUAAAGCACUGUCGAGGGGGAGGAAGCCGCAAAGUUGACCUAUCCCUGAAGGAAGCACGGGCUAAGUUCGUGCCAGCAGCCGCGGUAAGACGAACCGUGCGAACGUUGUUCGGAAUCACUGGGCUUAAAGGGCGCGUAGGCGGAUCAUACAGUCUAGGGUGAAAUACUCCGGCUUAACCGGAGAACUGCCUUGGAUACUAAUGAUCUCGAGGGAG
RNAcentral lists this ribosomal RNA (630 nucleotides) under uncultured Planctomycetota bacterium. RNAcentral describes it as "bacterial SSU rRNA". It matches the Rfam family "Bacterial small subunit ribosomal RNA", at positions 9 to 650 of the family's 1533-position model. Lineage: Bacteria; Pseudomonadati; Planctomycetota. The record is from RNAcentral.